CACCCACCUACCUACCUCUACCAACCACCACUCCAUAUCCUGACUGACAUGACCUGUGAUCCAGUGAUUGACAGGAGAGGAAAGACAGGCCAACUUUGUUAGCUGUUCGUUAGGAUAUGCUCGAGAGGACAAAAGAUUUUGCACCUCGUUAUUGUUGGACCUCUGUGUGGAAACUGCAAACGGGACGUCAUAAGAUAUAUAUUUUCCACGGGGAGAGGCGAGGAACACAGGCGCAACACAGUCUUUGUCUUUUUCCCGCCGAGUGUGGUGCAUUGUCCUCCUGCGCUUCUGUUCUAUGACUAUUGAGAAGCUGGCCAUGCUAACAGUGGCACAUUUAGCUUCAGCUCUUUGGAAGACAAGACAAAGCAGCAGUGUGGUGCAUUGCUGUCCUCCUGCCCUUGCUGGCCAAGCUGACAUUGUGAUGUAGCCUCAGUUCUUUGAGAGACAAGACAAAACAGCAGGGAAUAAUUUUAUGUCUGCAAGCCGCUGGAUGAUCAGUUUGGAGGGCAAGAUAUUUUAUGAGCCUGAGCAGAUGCACGACUUUGGCAGCACCCUUGCUGUCUUCUUUGCGUCAUACUACGUUUUCAACCUUGAGUAUCAGGAGUCAGCGUCCAUCACACUGGAGAUGAUACAGAGGUUCUUUGUGAGGAUCCAGACAUGGGAACAAAAUGCCCUGCAAAACUUGGUACAAGCCGCAAGACAGGUCGUGUCGUAAAGAGGAAGGUUACAAGCAUCAGCCCUCGGAUCACCACCUUCCUCCAGCGGCUCUCUGGAGGACUUCCAACUAGGUGGUGAUGAAGACUACGCUGACUACCAUCCUGGUAACGGAAAUCUAAAUCCCAUGUCACUUUCUAUUUCCUGAGACCCACUGAUAAUUAUUACAUUUUGUAAAUGAUUUUUGUUUUACAAUUGUAAUAGUUUAUUUAAUGUUCAUGCUGGUGGGUUUGUCCUGUUUUUAGUGGAAUGAAAAACUGUUUUCCUUAAAAAAUCAGACACAGAAAGGUGAAGGACUGUGUAGUUUUCAUGUACGCUUCUAUUUAUUUUGGUUAUUG
Oreochromis aureus is the source of this 1052-nucleotide long non-coding RNA. The record is from Ensembl. Lineage: Eukaryota; Metazoa; Chordata; Actinopteri; Cichliformes; Cichlidae.